GACGAACGCUGGCGGCGCGCCUAACACAUGCAAGUCGAACGGAGCUGAGAGAAGCUUGCUUUUCUUAGCUUAGUGGCGAACGGGUGAGUAACGCGUGAGUAACCUGCCCUGGAGUGGGGACAACAGUUGGAAACGACUGCUAAUACCGCAUAAGCCCACGAUCCGGCAACGGGUUGAGGGAAAAGGAUUUAUUUGCUUCAGGAUGGACUCGCGUCCAAUUAGGUAGUUGGUGAGGUAACGGGCCACCCAGGCGACGCUUGGUAGGCGGACUGAGAGGGUGAACCGCCAACUUUGGAAUGGGGCACCGCCCCGACUCCUAAGGGAGGCAGCAGUGGGGGAUAUUGCACAAUGGGGGGAAACCUGAUGCAGCGACGCCGCGUGGAGGAAGAAGGUUUUCGGAUUGUAAAAUCCUGUCGUUAGGGACGAUAAUGACGGUACCUAACAAGAAAGCACCGGCUAACUACGUG
RNAcentral lists this ribosomal RNA (467 nucleotides) under uncultured bacterium. RNAcentral describes it as "partial 16S ribosomal RNA". It matches the Rfam family "Bacterial small subunit ribosomal RNA", at positions 28 to 507 of the family's 1533-position model. The record is from RNAcentral.